GUCUACGGCCAUACCACCCUGAACGCGCCCGAUCUCGUCUGAUCUCGGAAGCUAAGCAGGGUCGGGCCUGGUUAGUACUUGGAUGGGAGGAUAAAAAUUAGUUAAUUUAAUAACUCCAGGUGUGGAUGACC
RNAcentral lists this ribosomal RNA (131 nucleotides) under Neogale vison (American mink). The record is from RNAcentral. Lineage: Eukaryota; Metazoa; Chordata; Mammalia; Carnivora; Mustelidae.